RNAcentral lists this ribosomal RNA (1468 nucleotides) under metagenome. RNAcentral describes it as "bacterial LSU rRNA". It matches the Rfam family "Bacterial large subunit ribosomal RNA", at positions 1458 to 2912 of the family's 2925-position model. The record is from RNAcentral.
UGACCGACGGGGCGACGGAUGGGGGUGGCUCGGCGGGGUUCUGGACGUCCCCGUGAUGGAGCGCGGCCCGCGGACCAGGGAAAUCCGGUCCGCACGAGGGCGAGGCUCCGGACGAAGCGAUUGAGCGAAGCGAGUGAGCCCGAGGUCCCUAGAAAAACCCCUAGGCAGGCGCGUGCGCGCCCGUACCGCAAACCGACACAGGUGGGUGGGUAGAACAUACCGAGGCGAUCGGGUCAACCAUGGUCAAGGAACUCGGCACAAUGGCCCCGUAACUUCGGGAGAAGGGGUGCCCGCGCGUACGUGAACGGACUUGCUCCGGGAGCGGAGGCGGGCCGCAGUGGAGAGGCCCAAGCGACUGUUUACCAAAAACACAGGACUCUGCAGAAGCCGCAAGGCGACGUAUAGGGUCUGACGCCUGCCCGGUGCCGGAAGGUCACGCGGAGGAGUUAGCCGUUAAGGCGAAGCCCCGAAGCCAAGCCCCGGUAAACGGCGGCCGUAACGAUAACGGUCCUAAGGUAGCGAAAUUCCUUGUCGGGUAAGUUCCGACCUGCACGAAAGGCGCAACGACUUGGGCGCUGUCUCGACCAUGGACCCGGUGAAAUUGCACUGGUCGUGAAGAUGCGACUUACCCGCGGAAGGACGGAAAGACCCCGUGAACCUUCACUGCAGCUUGGCAUUGGCCGCUGGUCCCGCGUGUAGAGGAUAGGCAGGAGGCAUCGAUCCGGAGGCGCCAGCCUCCGGGGAGCCGCCCUUGGAAUACUGCCCUCGCGCGACCGGCGUCCUAACCCGAGGCCGUCAACCGGCUCGGGGACCGUGCCAGGCGGGCAGUUUGACUGGGGCGGUCGCCUCCUAAAGGGUAACGGAGGCGCGCGAAGGUCCGCUCGGGACGGUCGGCAACCGUCCUUUUGAAUGCAAGAGUACAAGCGGGCUUGACUGCGAGGCCCACAAGCCGAGCAGGUGCGAAAGCAGGCUCUAGUGAUCCGGCGGCCCCGAGUGGGUGGGCCGUCGCUCAACGGAUAAAAGGUACUCCGGGGAUAACAGGCUGAUCUUGCCCAAGAGUCCACAUCGACGGCAAGGUUUGGCACCUCGAUGUCGGCUCAUCGCAUCCUGGGGCUGGAGCAGGUCCCAAGGGUACGGCUGUUCGCCGUUUAAAGCGGUACGCGAGCUGGGUUCAGAACGUCGUGAGACAGUUCGGUCCCUAUCCUCCGUGGGCGCAGGAGAAUCGAUGGAGGCUGCCCCCAGUACGAGAGGACCGGGGUGGACGCACCUCCGGUGAACCGGUUGUCGACCAACGGCACGGCCGGGUAGCCGCGUGCGGCGCGGAUAACCGCUGAAGGCAUCUAAGCGGGAAGCCGUUCCAGGGAUUAGUUCUCCUUCCGGUAAGGGCCCAGGUAGACUACCUGGUCGAUAGACGGCAGGUGCAAGGCUGGCGACAGCCUCAGCCGAGCCGCACUAAUCGCCCGAGCUC